AUUCAUUGGCCUCAUCAAAAUUCACUCUUCAUUGAUUUCCCUCUUUUAAUUUCCUUGAUGGGUGGGAUUUUUACCAACAUAAUGCUUCACAUGUAAGCUUUUCUAGCAAAUUCGAUGUAGCCCAUUCCUUUGUUGCUUCUAUUAUCAUGUCUAAGGUUCCCUUUAUUGGUUCUCUAUCAAUCAUCACUCUAUGCUUUAGCCUCUUUUCUUCUUUUCUUUUCUCCUGUUUUUUUUCCCCCUUUUCUUAGGGUGUCUUUCAAAAAAUUGAUCCAAUUGUCCAUUCCCUACAACUCAUUCUAUGGCAUCCAUCAAAUCUACUCACUCAUCCAUGAUGUUUCCUACUUCUCCAUGAUAUUUGCUUCUUUCUUUUGACCACCAUCAGGUAGGCAAGGGCUUUAUGCGUAUUGGAGAUCCCAACACCUCUUCCCUACCAAUCUAGUUUAAUAUGUGUGCUCAAGAUGCAUUCAAAGGUGUGUAUCCUUGAAACCAAUUGUUCAGAAGCCCAUUUCUCUUCCUAAGAUCAUAAUUUCUUCUUAGUGAUUGUUUCUUAAUUUGAGAAUGCCCGAAGAAUGGUUGUUUCCUCAUGUCGACCUAGUUGGACGGGAUUGUGUCCACUUGUUCCAAGCCACACCCAAAACCUCCCAUCCCUAUUCUCAUAGGAUGAUCUCUUCACUUUGUAGUUGACGAAGCCGCCUUCUUGUGUCUUGGUGUUACAUGUAUUGUUUGAGGGUGUUCUCGCUACUCCUCAAGCUCGUGAGUGACUUGUGUGUUUUGUUGUAUAGUUUCUUGUUAUUGGUUAAAAUUUUCCAACAAAAGUUUGAAUUGUUCUUGAAGCUGUGUAUAAUGUAGUGCAAUUGCUUCCCAGCAAGAUUUGAUUGGAUGGGAUAUUCUUGAUAAUACUGAGGUGGUCACUCCUAUCAAUGCUCCUAA
Long non-coding RNA from Gossypium arboreum, 930 nucleotides. RefSeq lists it as uncharacterized. Lineage: Eukaryota; Viridiplantae; Streptophyta; Magnoliopsida; Malvales; Malvaceae. The record is from RefSeq and is a predicted model, not a curated record. The transcript is spliced from 2 exons.